Molecule: ribosomal RNA, 253 nt
Filed under: uncultured bacterium
Lineage: Bacteria
Description: partial 16S ribosomal RNA
Rfam family: Bacterial small subunit ribosomal RNA
Source: RNAcentral
UACGGGGGGGGCAAGCGUUGUUCGGAAUUACUGGGCGUAAAGGGCGCGUAGGCGGCCAUCUAAGUCAGACGUGAAAUCCCUCGGCUCAACCGAGGAACUGCGUCUGAUACUGGAAGGCUUGAAUCCGGGAGAGGGAUGUGGAAUUCCAGGUGUAGCGGUGAAAUGCGUAGAUAUCUGGAGGAACACCGGUGGCGAAGGCGGCAUCCUGGACCAAUACUGACACUGAGGAGCGAAAGCCAGGGGAGCAAACGGG